RNAcentral lists this ribosomal RNA (253 nucleotides) under uncultured bacterium. Its description in RNAcentral is "partial 16S ribosomal RNA". It matches the Rfam family "Bacterial small subunit ribosomal RNA", at positions 524 to 776 of the family's 1533-position model. The record is from RNAcentral.
UACGUAGGCAGCGAGCGUUGUUCGGAGUUACUGGGCGUAAAGGGUGCGCAGGCGGCGUCGCAAGUCAGGCGUGAAAUCCCCGGGCUUAACCUGGGAACUGCACUUGAAACUACGAUGCUGGAGUAUGGCAGAGGGAGGUGGAAUUCCGCGUGUAGCAGUGAAAUGCGUAGAUAUGCGGAGGAACACCGAUGGCGAAGGCAAUCCCCUGGGCCUGCACUGACGCUCAUGCACGAAAGCGUGGGGAGCAAACAGG